UACUCACCUCCCUCUGCUCCCAGCGCUAUGCUGCCACACACCGGCCGUCUGCGGAACUGCAGCCGGAGGAACUCGGUACAGCUUGUUAUGUGUGAACGAUCUAGAUCCCUCCGCUUCCCCAUAAUUACCGCGAACAUUUUAACUUUCAUGACAGAAAUGGAGAGCUUUUAUGCUGAGAUAAAGCAGUACGUGCUCAAUGGUGGUUACCACAAUCUCACCAUCGCCGCUGAUCGCAGCAUGAUAAAAGGAAGGCGUUCAUUCGGAGGGCAUCCAAACAAUACCUGAUCAAAGCUGGAGAUUUGUACUACACAUACAAGGACAAUGAGAGGAUGGUUGUGUGCACCAAGGACCAAAUUAUCAAUGUCCUGAAGGAGUGCCAUGAUAACCUGGGUUCCGGAGGUCAUGCAGGGAGAAGGCGCACCACCGAGAAGGUUUUGGCAACGUACCACUGGUCCACUAUGCGGGAGGACGUGAAGAAAUGGAUACAUUCUAACAGCGACUGAUCUGUUCACGAAGUGGGUGGUAGCAAAAAUGCUCUACCACAAAACAGCUGUUGAGGUCUCAAAAAAGAUUGUGAAUAUUCUUCGAGAUUUCGGUCUUGUCGAGAAGAUCAUUACCGACCAAGGACGGGAAUUUGUCAAUGAGGUACAAUAAUCUAUCUAAUACAGUGUAUGUGUUAUGUGUAACAAUGUAAUACGAUUUUUCAGGUAAUUUGGUAAUUGGUGUACACUAAACCAUCUGCAGGUCAACCGUGGUGUUUUUGAUGCACUGGGUGUAAAACACUGCAUCACUUC
This is a long non-coding RNA of Gymnodraco acuticeps, 794 nucleotides long. RefSeq lists it as uncharacterized. NCBI's taxonomy places the organism in Eukaryota, Metazoa, Chordata, Actinopteri, Perciformes, Bathydraconidae. The transcript has 3 exons. The record is from RefSeq and is a predicted model, not a curated record.